This is a non-coding RNA of Castor canadensis (American beaver), 958 nucleotides long. NCBI's taxonomy places the organism in Eukaryota, Metazoa, Chordata, Mammalia, Rodentia, Castoridae. The record is from RefSeq and is a predicted model, not a curated record.
GGGAUCUUCCGUCCCUGCUGGGGUCGCUGUAACUGCUAUUCCAACUACACAGGAGAAGGCAGAGGCCUCCACGUCUUUCCUGGUUCACUUCUACUCAUCCUUUGGUCUCAGCUUACCUUCUGGGACACUUGCCCUGCCCCCUACGCCGAAUGGACACCCCAUCCCUACAGAUGCCAGUGCAGGAGCCUGUGUUUGCUGAGGGACUGAGAGGUCGAUCUAUGGACCCUCAUACUCAGACACCUAUUAGUCUAGGUGAGAUACCUGGAGCUGCAGUAGCCUUCUUGUAACCAUGAGGCAGAAAGCAUGUCAAAAGCAUCCUAUCAAAGAUGGUAGACCAGCCAGAUUCAUAGACCCUGGGUUGAUGAUGUAAUUGAACCACUCCCCUAACCUGGAGACCACCUACCAGUGACCUUUUUGCCAUGGCCAGGCAGGGACUGACCUGCCCAGAAGCAGUUGUAUCCAAAGGACAGCAUGCGGCAUCACGCUGGCUUUGGGUUUUUUCAUCAACUGGAUACAAGAGGCAUUUCUGACCCCACUCCAGUGACAGAAGACUCCUGUGUUUAGUUGCUUCACUUCUGGAUCACUUAAUUUUAUGAGGGAGUAGAACAGUCUCGUGCAUCACACGGUCAUGUCAGGGUCAACAAUGGACCACACAUGCAACACUGCUCCCUUGAGGUUAUCAUGGAGGCUGGGCGUGGUGGUUCACGCCUGUAAUCCCAGCUUCUCAGGAGGUAGAGGUAGGAGGAGCAAGGUCUGAAGGCCACUAGGCAAAGGCAAAAAUCUGAAAAAUAACUAAAGCAAGGGGCUGGGAGCCCCUGCAAGGGGCAGGUGGAGCACCUGCCUAGCAAGCAGGGAAAGAGUCACAUGGCGUACAGGGCUACCUUGGAGCAGGAAGCUGUGGCACAGAGCCGGAUGCAAGGAGCCCUCCAGCUGACCGUGAUGUUGGAACAGUUAAGAA